This 705-nucleotide ribosomal RNA is filed under the name uncultured fungus. Its description in RNAcentral is "eukaryotic LSU rRNA". The stretch from base 304 to 457 matches the Rfam family "5.8S ribosomal RNA". The record is from RNAcentral. Lineage: Eukaryota; Fungi.
AAGUCGUAACAAGGUUUCCGUAGGUGAACCUGCGGAAGGAUCAUUGCUAAACGAAUCCCUUGCGGAUUUAACGAUCCAUAUAAACCCACUUGUGCACUGUUGUAGUGAUUGUCACUCUUUUUGGGCGGACAAGGUUUAACCAUUGGGUUAAAGAAAAUAGGGAAGUUUUCAGUUUGAGAACCUCCAGAUUCCCCACUCCAAUGUCUAAGACCCCGCCCAGAGGUGACUUCAGUCAAACUCUUGUUUUUAAUCAAUGUCUGAAGUUAUCCGGUCUUUUUGAUCAGAGUUUGUUUAACAAAAUACAACUUUCAACAAUGGAUCUCUUGGCUCUCGCAACGAUGAAGAACGCAGCGAAAUGCGAUACGUAAUGUGAAUUGCGGAAUCCCGUGAAUCAUCAAAUUUUCGAACGCACAUUGCGCUCUUGGGUAUUCCUGAGAGCAUGCCUGUUUGAGUGUCAGUAUCAAAUCUCAAACCUUUGGGUUCGGAUGUGGACCUUUUUCUCAGGUUUCUCGGAACCUGAGUGGUCUUAAAUAUAUAGGAGAAUUAGCAAUAUUCCCGCUUGAAGGCGUGAUAAUGGUGUCUAACAUCUUUUAUUCGUCGAUUCCGGUGAAUCGCUAAGUUUUUCUCCGUAAUCGCCUUACGGCAACCAAGGUGCGAACCUUGAAACUUGACCUCAAAUCAAGCAAGACUACCCGCUGAACUUAA